Molecule: non-coding RNA, 31 nt
Filed under: Mus musculus (house mouse)
Lineage: Eukaryota; Metazoa; Chordata; Mammalia; Rodentia; Muridae
Source: RNAcentral
UGCAGAGUUUCACAGUGACAGCAAACACAGA